RNAcentral lists this ribosomal RNA (477 nucleotides) under Triticum aestivum (bread wheat). Its description in RNAcentral is "partial small subunit ribosomal RNA". Lineage: Eukaryota; Viridiplantae; Streptophyta; Magnoliopsida; Poales; Poaceae. The record is from RNAcentral.
CUAUAUCAAUAGUUAGUUAAAACUGAUGUGGGGUUUCCACACAAAUUUCUUUGGAAAGUAAAAAUUCCAGCGAAAAUAAAGAUCCUUUUUUGGCUGAUCGCCAGGAAUAGUAUACUAACCAGAGACAACCUAGCAAAAGGAGGAUGGAAACGGAAUCGGAGUUGUGUGUACUAUGGUCGAAAUGAAACCAUAGAUCACCUUUUCUUCUCUUGUUCUGCUGCCAAGUUACUUUGGAGUUUGAUAAAAUGCUCCUUCAAUUUAAAAACAGCUUCGAUUGGGGUUGAUGAUUGCCUGGGGGUAUGUAUCAAGAAAUUUAAGCUAGAGGAAAGAAACCUAGUGUUAGUUGGAACGUCUGCCACUCUUUGGGCUAUUUGGAAAUGUAGAAAUGAUAUAAUUUUUUGUGAUAAAUUGGUCACUGACCCCAUGACGUUGGUGAAACUAACUUGCAAUUGGAUUGUGGAUUGGGCUGUUUUGUAG